Molecule: unclassified non-coding RNA, 245 nt
Filed under: Ascomycota sp.
Lineage: Eukaryota; Fungi; Ascomycota
Description: partial contains small subunit ribosomal RNA, internal transcribed spacer 1, and 5.8S ribosomal RNA
Rfam family: Eukaryotic small subunit ribosomal RNA (bases 1-47)
Source: RNAcentral
AAAGUCGUAACAAGGUUUCCGUAGGUGAACCUGCGGAAGGAUCAUUACCAAAACAUAGCGUUCCAAACGCUUCAACCCUUUGUGAACCAAAAAACCUUUUUCGCUUCGGUAGCAAGCUUCGUUUCUCAACGAAGCUGUCAGCCUGCCGGUAGCACACCCAACCAAAACUUGUUGUCAAACAUUGUCUGAACAAAACCAUUUUCGAAUGAAAAUUAAAACUUUCAACAACGGAUCUCUUGGUUCUC